AUGAACGCUGGCGGCGUGCCUAAUACAUGCAAGUCGAGCGAACAGACGAGGAGCUUGCUCCUCUGACGUUAGCGGCGGACGGGUGAGUAACACGUGGAUAACCUACCUAUAAGACUGGGAUAACUUCGGGAAACCGGAGCUAAUACCGGAUAAUAUAUUGAACCGCAUGGUUCAAUAGUGAAAGACGGUUUUGCUGUCACUUAUAGAUGGAUCCGCGCCGCAUUAGCUAGUUGGUAAGGUAACGGCUUACCAAGGCAACGAUGCGUAGCCGACCUGAGAGGGUGAUCGGCCACACUGGAACUGAGACACGGUCCAGACUCCUACGGGUGGCAGCAGUAGGGAAUCUUCCGCAAUGGGCGAAAGCUUGACGGAGCAACGCCGCGUGAGUGAUGAAGGUCUUCGGAUCGUAAAACUCUGUUAUUAGGGAAGAACAAAUGUGUAAGUAACUAUGCACGUCUUGACGGUACCUAAUCAGAAAGCCACGGCUAACUACGUG
RNAcentral lists this ribosomal RNA (496 nucleotides) under uncultured bacterium. Its description in RNAcentral is "partial 16S ribosomal RNA". It matches the Rfam family "Bacterial small subunit ribosomal RNA", at positions 29 to 507 of the family's 1533-position model. The record is from RNAcentral.